RNAcentral lists this ribosomal RNA (497 nucleotides) under uncultured bacterium. RNAcentral's name for it is "partial 16S ribosomal RNA". It matches the Rfam family "Bacterial small subunit ribosomal RNA", at positions 28 to 507 of the family's 1533-position model. The record is from RNAcentral.
GAUGAACGCUGGCGGCGUGCCUAAUACAUGCAAGUCGAGCGAACAGACGAGGAGCUUGCUCCUCUGACGUUAGCGGCGGACGGGUGAGUAACACGUGGAUAACCUACCUAUAAGACUGGGAUAACUUCGGGAAACCGGAGCUAAUACCGGAUAAUAUAUUGAACCGCAUGGUUCAAUAGUGAAAGACGGUUUUGCUGUCACUUAUAGAUGGAUCCGCGCCGCAUUAGCUAGUUGGUAAGGUAACGGCUUACCAAGGCAACGAUGCGUAGCCGACCUGAGAGGGUGAUCGGCCACACUGGAACUGAGACACGGUCCAGACUCCUACGUGAUGCAGCAGUAGGGAAUCUUCCGCAAUGGGCGAAAGCCUGACGGAGCAACGCCGCGUGAGUGAUGAAGGUCUUCGGAUCGAAAAACUCUGUUAUUAGGGAAGAACAAAUGUGUAAGUAAAUAUGCACGUCUUGACGGUACCUAAUCAGAAAGCCACGGCUAACUACGUG